AACAGAUUCUGGAGCAGUUUCAGUCAAGAGGGUAUUCACAGCUGAUCACUUCUGCCACUACAGACAAGAACACCCUGCUUGACCUCAUUUUUAUUUCUCAUCCAAAGCACAGUCUACAUUCAGGUGUCUUGAGAACAUAUUACAGUUACCACAACCCUGUGUUUUGUGUUCUGUCCUCGAGCCAAUCAUGAAGUCGUGUGGUGAGUUUUCAAACAAUUAUAGAUCAUGUUUGUUACAGAGUUUACUGAUUGUAGAGUAUGAAAAAGAUUUUCUGUUGAUAAUGGAAGGCUUCCCAAAAAUUAGUUUCCCUGCUCUGUCUGUAAGAAGACCAUCCUUCAAUUUAUCAAACCUUUCUCAUUGCAAUGUUAUUAAUCAUUUCACCAAAUCAUGGCUGUACUUCAUGCAGAGCAGGGAGAUCUGCCUUCUGUUAUCAUGCACCUCUGAUCUGAAAUGUGCUGCAAAAAGUAUUAAACAGACAUCAUUUAUUUUUUAUUCUCAUGUUUUAAAUGACUAAAUCUACUAUUUUAAAAUGCAUUUUUUCAUGGAUGUUAAUUGUCAUCUCCUUUUUUGAUACUUUAAUUUAUUGUGACAUAUGUAUCUCAACAAACAAGAUCUUUGUUGAGGGCUUUUAAAUAUGAAAUAGUAAAUAAAUAAAUCCCAGAUAAAUGCAGGUAUUUAUUAUUGGGCACAUAAAUAAAUACAGACAAUUAUAUUUUCUUGAUUACAGUAGAUUUUGUAGAAUCAAAUGUUUUUGGGAUAAAUGAGGUUUUGCUUAUCAUGUUUUACAGGUAAAAAAAAAUGUUAAAAGUUUUAAACUAUCUUUAGGCUACCAGAGAUGUCUAUAACGAUACAUUACGUAGAGAAAAACAUUUUUACAGCUUACAGAAUAUGUAUAAAAACUGAUUUAGAAGUACAUGGAAAGUUUCUGCAUCCAUUUUCUGACUUGGCCUUUAUCCGGGUGGGUUUGGGUUUGGGUGGAUAAAGGCCAAGUCAGAAUUUUCUGAGCAUCUGCAAAAAGACAUCAGAAAGUGUGGGCUUUAGGUGUAGCCCACGCUUUCUGAUGCACUAAUUAGAUUUAGUAACUGACACCCCAUACCAGCAAUAUAUUGACACUUGGGGGCUGAGCUGGGUGGGUUGGGAGGGUGGGUGGUGUUAAAAGCACUUUAUGUUUUGUAGAUGUAUUUUUUCAGACAGGGCACACACAGUCCUGUUUCCUUUGUGGGAAAACCUUCAAACGUCACCAUCAUCAGCUGAAACAACAACAUCUUAACCAUCUUCAUGAACUGCUGAGCCAAACCUGAUCCAUCAGUGCUGGACCGCACAGAUAACUACAUGCCACAAGGAGACUGCUCUUUUAUGAACUGCCAUACCAGUGUGUCUUCCAUGGAGAAGAUGACACACCCAUCACCUGACCUCCUGCCUAAUCUGGAGACCAUCAUCAUGUUGCCACACUACACACCUCUGAAACCAUCAAGGAUGACUCAUACCGAGGAAACUGUAUUUCCUGUCAGAGAUGCUCAGUGAUCCUCAGAGCAGAGAGAGGUAUCUUCUGAGUUCUUCAGUGUCCCAACUGAGACAUUCAACCCUCAUCACAGAGCUCGUGUCUUUCCUCACCAUCAUGUGAGUGUGAGAUUGCUCUGGAGUCUGGUGGCCUGCAGCAUCUAUGAGAACAAGCUUGUCCUGUGUGCCUGCAUUCCAGCUUCUUAGACUCUACGCAAGUGGACAGAGUAUCAGUGUUUGACCACUCUUACAGACACCGACUUCUGUCAACUCACUGCUACUGAUCAGGCACCUCACUCCAGGAAGACAGAGGGUUGCAAGCCUGUCAUCAUUUCCAGUGUGGCUUUGUAUUCUUGGGGUAGCAUCAGAUUUUUCCCACAAAUAUUCAAAGAUUUAUAUGCAGUGAUCGGAUGUGGUGGAGCUUUGUUAACUGUGUGGAAAACAUCUGUUUGUGAUGCUAUUUACAAUGAGGCUGUAAGGUUUCAGUUUUGUCUUUUGGACUUAUGGUUAACAUUCCUCUGUGACAGCAAAUACUAAACUGGUCCAAGUGACCAGCAUAUCAUUGGUGGAGGGUAAAAAGGACCACAAUGAAUUUUUGACUGUGUUUGUGUCACCAGAUUUAACAAACAAUAUCAGACAUAUGAAACUGAACUCUGGAUUAAUGUGCAGAUAUACUGUUUUUUGUGGGUGGUUUUUGUUUUUGUUUUUUGUUAUUUUGUAGAACAAACCCAAUCUAUUUACCCAAACCAUAUAACUUGUUUUGGUAAAUAGUGGAUUGAUAUAUCUAAGUCUAUAAGUAUAGCAAGCUGAAUUCAUACAAACACACAGCUCUAAAUCUUGAAUUGUAGGAUGUACAAAAAUGAUCAUGUGAUUAUUAUGGACAUUUAAAUAACUAUAUCUAUUGAACCAUUACACGUAUUCUUUAUAGA
This is a long non-coding RNA of Oreochromis niloticus (Nile tilapia), 2429 nucleotides long. RefSeq lists it as uncharacterized. Lineage: Eukaryota; Metazoa; Chordata; Actinopteri; Cichliformes; Cichlidae. The transcript has 4 exons. The record is from RefSeq and is a predicted model, not a curated record.